GGAGCGGUGGCAGAGUCUGGUUGAUUGCAACUGCCUUGAAAGCAGUCGAUGGUUCACGCCAUCCGGGGGUUCGAAUCCCUCCCGCUCCG
This 89-nucleotide transfer RNA is filed under the name Nocardiopsaceae bacterium. Its description in RNAcentral is "tRNA-Ser". It matches the Rfam family "tRNA". Rfam says of the family: Transfer RNA (tRNA) molecules are approximately 80 nucleotides in length. Their secondary structure includes four short double-helical elements and three loops (D, anti-codon, and T loops). The record is from RNAcentral. Lineage: Bacteria; Bacillati; Actinomycetota; Actinomycetes; Streptosporangiales; Nocardiopsidaceae.